AGAGUUUGAUCCUGGCUCAGGACGAACGCUGGCGGCGUGCCUAACACAUGCAAGUCGAACGGGCUCCGGGGCAACUCGGAGUCAGUGGCGGACGGGUGCGUAACACGUGAGGAACAUGCCUAUCGGCGGGGGAUAGCCGGUCCAACGACCGGGUAAUACCGCGUACGACCUUUGGGUGGCAUCACCUGGGGGUGAAAGCAGCAAUGCACCGAUAGAGUGCCUCGCGGCCUAUCAGCUAGUUGGUGAGGUAAUGGCUCACCAAGGCGACGACGGGUAGCUGGUCUGAGAGGAUGACCAGCCACAUUGGGACUGAGACACGGCCCAGACUCCUACGGGAGGCAGCAGUGGGGAAUAUUGCGCAAUGGGCGAAAGCCUGACGCAGCGACGCCGCGUGUGGGAUGACGGUCUUCGGAUUGUAAACCACUGUCGGGAGGGACGAAGCUCUGACGGUACCUCCAAAGGAAGCACCGGCUAACUCUGUGCCAGCAGCCGCGGUAAUACAGAGGGUGCAAGCGUUGUCCGGAAUCACUGGGCGUAAAGGGCGCGUAGGCGGCCUGAUAAGUCGGGGGUGAAAUUCUGCGGCUUAACCGCAGGACGGCCUUCGAGACUGUCGGGCUUGAGCACGGUAGAGGCAGGUGGAAUUCCCGGUGUAGCGGUGGAAUGCGUAGAGAUCGGGAAGAACAUCGGUGGCGAAGGCGGCCUGCUGGGCCGUUGCUGACGCUGAGCGCGACAGCGCGGGGAGCAAACAGGAUUAGAUACCCUAGUAGUCC
This 770-nucleotide ribosomal RNA is filed under the name uncultured bacterium. RNAcentral describes it as "bacterial SSU rRNA". It matches the Rfam family "Bacterial small subunit ribosomal RNA", at positions 8 to 796 of the family's 1533-position model. The record is from RNAcentral.